RNAcentral lists this ribosomal RNA (207 nucleotides) under Mesorhizobium sp. RNAcentral describes it as "partial 23S ribosomal RNA". It matches the Rfam family "Bacterial large subunit ribosomal RNA", at positions 1 to 200 of the family's 2925-position model. Lineage: Bacteria; Pseudomonadati; Pseudomonadota; Alphaproteobacteria; Hyphomicrobiales; Phyllobacteriaceae. The record is from RNAcentral.
GGGUUGUGAGGUUAAGCGACUAAGCGUACACGGUGGAUGCCCUGGCAGUCAGAGGCGAUGAAGGACGUGCUAAUCUGCGAAAAGCGCCGGCGAGGUGAUAUGAACCCUUGACCCGGCGAUGUCCGAAUGGGGAAACCCAGUGCAAUUCGUUGCACUAUCGUUAACUGAAUACAUAGGUUAACGAGGCGAACCGGGGGAACUGAAACA